RNAcentral lists this ribosomal RNA (247 nucleotides) under uncultured bacterium. RNAcentral's name for it is "partial 16S ribosomal RNA". It matches the Rfam family "Bacterial small subunit ribosomal RNA", at positions 523 to 769 of the family's 1533-position model. The record is from RNAcentral.
AUACGGAGGGGGCAAGCGUUGUUCGGAAUUACUGGGCGUAAAGCGCGCGUAGGCGGUUGUGCAAGUCAGAUGUGAAAGCCCUCGGCUCAACCGGGGAACUGCGUCUGAUACUGCUCGACUUGAGUCCGGUAGGGGAUGGCGGAAUUCCCGGUGUAGCGGUGGAAUGCGUAGAUAUCGGGAGGAACACCGAUGGCGAAGGCGGCCAUCUGGGCCGGAACUGACGCUGAGGCGCGAGAGCUAGGGGAGC